GGCAUUGCGCAGCUACACAUGCAGUCGAACGGUAGCACAGAGAAGCUUGCUCUCGGGUGACGAGUGGCGGACGGGUGAGUAAUGUCUGGGAAACUGCCUGAUGGAGGGGGAUAACUACUGGAAACGGUAGCUAAUACCGCAUAACGUCGCAAGACCAAAGAGGGGGACCUUCGGGCCUCUUGCCAUCAGAUGUGCCCAGAUGGGAUUAGCUAGUAGGUGGGGUAACGGCUCACCUAGGCGACGAUCCCUAGCUGGUCUGAGAGGAUGACCAGCCACACUGGAACUGAGACACGGUCCAGACUCCUACGGGAGGCAGCAGUGGGGAAUAUUGCACAAUGGGCGCAAGCCUGAUGCAGCCAUGCCGCGUGUAUGAAGAAGGCCUUCGGGUUGUAAAGUACUUUCAGCGGGGAGGAAGGUGAUGAGGUUAAUAACCUUGUCGAUUGACGUUACCCGCAGAAGAAGCACCGGCUAACUCCGUGCCAGCAGCCGCGGUAAUACGGAGGGUGCAAGCGUUAAUCGGAAUUACUGGGCGUAAAGCGCACGCAGGCGGUCUGUCAAGUCGGAUGUGAAAUCCCCGGGCUCAACCUGGGAACUGCAUUCGAAACUGGCAGGCUAGAGUCUUGUAGAGGGGGGUAGAAUUCCAGGUGUAGCGGUGAAAUGCGUAGAGAUCUGGAGGAAUACCGGUGGCGAAGGCGGCCCC
RNAcentral lists this ribosomal RNA (700 nucleotides) under Klebsiella oxytoca. RNAcentral describes it as "bacterial SSU rRNA". It matches the Rfam family "Bacterial small subunit ribosomal RNA", at positions 38 to 728 of the family's 1533-position model. Lineage: Bacteria; Pseudomonadati; Pseudomonadota; Gammaproteobacteria; Enterobacterales; Enterobacteriaceae. The record is from RNAcentral.